GUAUGAGGGGUCUUCGGUCCAGAAUGGGGGGUUUGGGGGGGGAAAUGGGGGGUCUUUGGUCCAAAAUGGGGGGGCUUGGGGGGGGGAAAUGGUAGUUUUUGGGGGGGAAAUGGUGGUUUUGGGGGGAAAUGGGGGGUCUUGGGGGGGGGAAAUGGGGGUCUUUGGUCCAAAAUGAGGGGUUUGGGGGGGGAAAUGGGGAUUUUUGGGGGGAAAUGGGGGGAUCUGUAUAGAGAAUUAAAGGGAUUUGGGGUGAAAUGAGGGGAUUUGGGGUGAACUAGAAGGAUUUUGGGGGGAAAUGAGGAGAUUUGUGGUGAAGUAAAUGGAUUUUGGGGUGAAAUGAGGGGAUUUGGGGUGAAAGAAAUGGAUUUUGGGGGGAAAUGAGGGGAUUUGGGGUGAAAGAAAUGGAUUUUGGGGGUGAAAUGUGGGGAUCUGGAGAGAAUUAAAGGGAUUUGGGGUGAAAUGAAGGGAUUUGGGGUGAAAAAAUGGAUUAUAGGGGGGAAAUGAGGGGAUCUGGGGUGAAAUAAAGGGAUUUUGGGGUGAAAUGAGGGGAUUUUGGGUGAAGUAAAUGGAUUUUGGGAGGAAAUGAGGGGAUUUGUGGUGAAGUAAAUGGAUUUUGGGGUGAAAUGAGGGGAUUUGGGGUGAAAUAAAGGGAUUUCGGGGGGAAAUGAGGAGGUUUGGGGUGGAAUGAAGAGGUAUUGGGGUGAACCCAGGGGAUUUGGGGUGAAAUAAAGGGAUUUUUGGGGUGAAAUGAGGGGACCUGGAGAGAAUUAAAGGAAUUUUUGGGGUGAAAUGAGGGGAUUGGGGGUGAAGUAAAUGGAUUUUUGGGGUAAAUGAUGGGAUUUGGGGUGAAAUAAAUGGAUUUUAAGGGUAAAAUGAGAGGAUUUGGGGUGAAAUAAAGGGAUUUUAAGGAUGAAAUGAGGGGAUUUGGGGUGGUAUGAAGAGGUUUUGGGGUGAAAUAAAGGGAUUUUGGGGGUGAAAUGAGGGGAUUUGGGGUGAAAUAAAGGGAUUUUGGGGGGGAAAUGAGGGGAUUUGGGGUGAAAGAAAUGGAUUUUGGGGUGAAAUGAGGGGAUUUUGGGUGAAAUAAAGGGAUUUCGGGGGGAAAUGAGGAGAUUUGGGGUGAAGUAAAUGGAUUUUUGGGGUAAAUGAUGGGAUUUGGGGUGAAAUAAAUGGAUUUUAAGGGUAAAAUGAGAGGAUUUGGGGUGAAAUAAAGGGAUUUUAAGGAUGAAAUGAGGGGAUUUGGGGUGGUAUGAAGAGGUUUUGGGGUGAAAUAAAGGGAUUUUGGGGGUGAAAUGAGGGCACCUGGAAAGAAUUAAAGGGAUUUGGGGUAAAAUGAGGGGAUGUGGGGUGAAAUAAAGGGACUUAUGGGGUGAAAUGAGGGGAUUUUAGGGGGAAACGGACCCAAUUUGGGUCGAAACGAUUGGAAUUUGGGGCAACGAAGCGGCACUGAAAGGUGUUGAAGGCAUUUUGGGGGGGAAUAAUGCGAUUUUGGGGCGGAAAAAUGCGAUUUUUUGGGAAAAAAGUGGGGAGAAUUUGGGACGCAAGGAAUGCACUGAGGGAUACGGAGAGCUUUUUGGGGUGAAAUACGUGGAUUUUGGGGACAGAACACAGGCUUGGGGGCUGGGCGGGACGUUUUGGGGUAGAAAAACGGGUUUUUGGGAAGGAAAAGUGCGCCUGAGGGCUGAAAUCGAAGGAUUUCAAGCCGGGAAGGGCGGAUUUUGGGGCGAAAAAGUGCGGUUUUGGGGCUCUUUCCCCUCCUUUCGGAUAGACCGGAAGUGGGGGCCGGAAGGGGCGGGGCUUUGCGUGGCCACGCCCCCUCCGUAAGGCCCCGCCCGCCGCCCUCCCCCCCCCCCCCCCAAUUUAUCGCCGUUAUAUCGCGAUAUCGCCCCCCCCUCCCCUUCCACAAUUACCCCCCCCUCCGCCGAGUAAAAUCCAUCAGAAACGAGGGGAAAAAAAAACCCAAAAACCUUCAAAACGUGGAGGGAGGGGGGUAAAAAAAAAAAACAAAAAACCCCUCAGAGCGACCCGAAACCGCCGCGAUUCUCCUCACAACGCGGCAAGUGCGCCACAAACGGCGGCCGAUGGCCCCGUGAAGAAAAUAAACCCCCCUCCCCCCCCCAAAACGUCCCGGACUGCCCCCAAAACGCCGACCGUUUUCCCUCAAAAUGGGGUAAAAAUGAAAGAAAAACGGCCCUUUUUGGGGGGCCUAGGCCUCACCGCUGGGCCCCGCCGCCGCCGCCGCCUCCUGGCUCGGGG
This 2253-nucleotide long non-coding RNA is filed under the name Gallus gallus (chicken). RNAcentral's name for it is "lncRNA (ENSGALG00010000400.1)". Lineage: Eukaryota; Metazoa; Chordata; Aves; Galliformes; Phasianidae. The record is from RNAcentral.